GACCUGGGGAGGGAGCGUGAAAGGAUGAAUGAAAAGUCCGGAGCCGGAGCGCGCCCGGGCCAGAGCAGCAGCAGAGGCAGAGCGGAGAGCUAGGGAGGUGAGGCCCGCUUUGCCCUGCUCGCCUUGGCUCGGCGGAGGCCGCGAUCUCGGCGGGCGCCUCCACCCCGGCGCCCGCUGAGCCCUGGCACCUCGGACUCAGGGCCAUGGCUCUCCGUGGGCGGGAACGUGCCGGGAGGACCGCGCGGGAGAGCACAGAUGGGCACACUAGGCUCGAUGUAAGUGGCCUGGUCGGCUCAGGGCACGAGGUGGGCUAGCGCCUCGGAAUGCAGCGUGCUGGCGCCUCCGCCACGAGGGGCCAGCCGAGCGCUACACCCUCCUCGAGGCUCCUGGGACCUCCUUGACAAUUCCCUUUCCUGAUCGGAACCCCCACCAACCUCUAGGGCACCUCUAGCUUCGGACCCCCGGCCAUUUUCACAGCCCUGGGUGAUUUCAGGACCUCUUUGUACAAUGCCAUUUCUCUGGGGGCUCCUGUGGGGCCUGGGACUCGGUUCACCUUCCGGCCCGCCCUCCGCUUUCCUCCCUCUUCUCCAUUUCUUGGGUGCUCUCUCGGAACCCUUCUCGGGUGGGGUCUUUACCCUUUUCUUCUCUCCUUGAGAGGCUCUCUUAGGGGAGUCUCUGGGUCGCCUCCCACCCCACCCCCCACCCGCUUCCCUCUCUCUUUGGGUUGCCGGGAUUUCCCUGUUUCCUACUGGGAUGCCUCCGGGGUUUUACCCCUAGGAUUUCUCUGCCCUCUCCCCUUUUUGGUCAGCAGCUUAGAUCCAGCCCUUUCCCCUGCACGAGUUCCGCUUCGCUUCCACCGUCCUUGCGAGUUGGGAGGUGUGUGGUGGGGCUAGUUCCUCGCCUCCCCACUGCGACCCCAACGUGGAGGCUCUGGCUCCGCUGAAAGCUAAGGCUCAGGCUAUCGGAUGCGCCCCGGAUCUUCCAAAGGAGGGCAAUGGAGACCCCGUGAGGUUUGGGAGGCCUCCGCCUCGGUCCCUGCGGUCUUCCCGGGUGGCACGAAAAGCCCGUGAGUCUCUCCUCCCAGGGACCAGAGAAACUCCUGCUUCUUCUCGAAUGGGGGGCUGGAAACCGGGUGUCACAAGGUUUUGGGGUCGGGGGUAUUCCCGGACUUUGGACACCAUCGGCCCUCGCCUCUUUUCCACGCCUUUUUCGGUCUCUAUCGUGUCUGUAUCUCUAUGUCUCUGAGUCUUUUCCUGUCUUGAACUCUGUUUCUCUCUUCAUCUCCCACCUCUACCCGUGUACCCUCUCCCCAGCCCCCACCGGCGGGCAACCGAGAGGCUGCGGCGGUGCAGGCGUCGGCAGCGGCAGCCGAGAGGCUGCGUGGAAGAGGCGGCGGCGGCAGCCAGGAGGCGGGGUUGGUUGUUAUCUUUGGUUAUCUAGCUGUAUGAGUGGUGUGGAGUCUUCAUAAAGCUAGAUAACCGAAAGUAAAAAUAACCCCAUACACUGCGCAGAGGGGCCCCAGGAAAACUGGCCGCACCGGCGGGCGGGGGAGGCCUAAGCGAAGGGCUAGAGCUGCCAGGACCCACGGGCCAUGGGAGGCGAGAAGAGGACCCGGCGGCCCGCGGGCCUCAAGACCGCACCGGUCGGGGCGACUUUCCACCCUCCAACUCCGGUUCGCGCAGCCCCUCACCUGGGUGCGGGUGGGUGCUGCACCACCCUCCUUCUCUCUUUCCUCCACACGGGCGCCAGAGUCGUAUCCAGCACCAUGGACAGCUCCCGGGCGGAAAUUCUAUGAUCUUGCUUAUUCCUGUCUUGGGAAGUCCUUCCCAAUGUCUAACCAAGAGCUGUACUACUGAAGUACCAGUUCUUUGAUCCUUGGCUUGACAUGGCUAAUUCGAGAGGCACAGCUUCCCUCUACCCCAGGGAGGAAGGAACAGACCUUGAUUUGACAGCCACUUGCUUGUACCAAAAAGAACCUACUUCACCCAGUUGGCCUGGGUCUCCUCUGAGAAGCUGCCCUGAUUGACUGAAAGAUGAUGCUAAACUCUAGCAAGUUGAGCAGCUCCUCCAAGAAGCCCUUGAGCAGGAUAGAAAUGGGGAGGCCUUAGCCUCCAGCCUGGGCAGACCGUUAUACCUGGAGCCAUCUGGGAUAAGACUUUGCUUCACCAUUUCUCCCAUGUCUACAAGCUGUCCAUUCGGGACCAUCCUGGUUUCUCUUGUGUCGUCCGAGUUGAGAUUCCUAUGAGAUGGAAGUCCCGUCUCAUGUCUAAUAAAGACUCUUGAAUAUUGAACAACA
Non-coding RNA from Vicugna pacos (alpaca), 2296 nucleotides. The record is from RefSeq and is a predicted model, not a curated record. Lineage: Eukaryota; Metazoa; Chordata; Mammalia; Artiodactyla; Camelidae.